UGUUCUAGAAUGCUAUUAUGGUGUUCUAGAAUGCUUCGCUGUUCUGUUCCUUCAGACCUGGGCCAAAAGUAUGUCAAAUAUGUUAAUGUUUGAAAUAUACUAUAUAAAUAAAGUUUGAUUUGAUUUUGAAAGUCAGAUACUUGAAGUAUGUGAGGUGCACUUGGCUUGGUGUUUACUAUUCCAUUGGUUUGAAAUCAAGUGCACCUCAAAGUAUUGGGAGAAUUUGACUCAUGUACUUGACCCAGUUCAGUAGGAUGUUCAGAUAGGAAUACGCUACGUAAAACAAAUACAUGGUGAAUAAGCAAUCAGCUCCAUUCAUGGGAUUUCUAUACGCAACAUUCAACAACUAUUGGCCACUGAACGUGGCUCUGGCUUGUGUUCAGUACAACAAAACGGUACCUUACUGAACCACCAGUUCAUGACCUUUGUGAUUAUGGUAGCCCAGAGGACCGUUUUUACUUUUGUUAUUUUUAUUAAAAAAUAUAUAUAUAUUUUAUACCUGUUUUCUCUGCAAUUUCAUGGUAUCCAAUUUUGUCGUAGUUACAGUCUUGUCUCAUCGCUGCAACUCCUGUACGAACUCAGGAGAGGCAGGAAAGGUCGAGAGCGUCCUCCUUAACCCAACCAAGCCACACUGCAUCUUGACACAAUGCCCGCUUAACCCGGAGGCCAGACGCACUAAUGUGUCAGAGGAAACGCCGUACACCUGGUGACCGUGUCAGGGUGCACUGCACCUGGCCCACCGCUAGUUUUGUCGCUAGUUUUGCACUGUUGGUUAAGGGCCUGUAAGUAAGCAUUUCACCUGUUGUAUUCGGCGCACGUGACAAAUAAACUUUAAUUUGAAUUAGUGUGCGAUGGGACAAGGACAUCCCUGCCGGCCAAACCCUCCCCUAACGCGGACAAUGCUGGGCCAAUUGUGCACCGCCCCAUGGGUCUCCCGGUCGCGACAGAGCCUGGACUCGAACCCAGAAUCUCUAGUGGCACAGCUAACACUGUGAUGCAUAUCCCAUAUGGUGGGAUUAUAGUGGCCCAGAGGACAGUUACCAUAUAGUGGGAUUAUAGUGGCCCAGAGGACAGUUACCAUAUGGUUGGAUUAUAGUGGCCCAGAGGACAGUUACCAUAUGGUUGGAUUAUAGUGGCCCAGAGGACAGUUACCAUAUGGUUGGAUUAUAGUGGCCCAGAGGAUAGUUACCAUAUGGUUGGAUUAUAGUGGCCCAGAGGACAGUUACCAUAUAGUGGGAUUAUAGUGGCCCAGAGGACAGUUACCAUAUGGUGGGAUUAUAGUGGCCCAGAGGACAGUUACCAUAUGGUGGGAUUAUAGUGGCCCAGAGGACAGUUACCCUAUAGUGUGAUUAUAGUAGCCCAGAGGACAGUUACCAUAUGGUUGGAUUAUAGUGGCCCAGAGGACAGUUACCAUAUGGUUGGAUUAUAGUGGCCCAGAGGACAGUUACCAUAUGGUGGGAUUAUAGUGGCCCAGAGGACAGUUACCAUAUAGUUGGAUUAUAGUGGCCCAGAGGACAGUUACCAUAUGGUGGGAUUAUAGUGGCCCAGAGGACAGUUACCAUAUGGUGGGAUUAUAGUGGCCCAGAGGACAGUUACCAUAUGGUUGGAUUAUAGUGGCCCAGAGGACAGUUACCAUAUGGUUGGAUUAUAGUGGCCCAGAGGACAGUUACCAUAUGGUGGGAUUAUAGUGACCCAGAGGACAGUUACCAUAUGGUUGGAUUAUAGUGGCCCAGAGGACAGUUACCAUAUAGUGGGAUUAUAGUGGCCCAGAGGACAGUUACCAUAUGGUGGGAUUAUAGUGGCCCAGAGGACAGUUACCAUAUGGUAGGAUUAUAGUGGCCCAGAGGACAGUUACCAUAUGGUUGGAUUAUAGUGGCCCAGAGGACAGUUACCCUAUAGUGGGAUUAUAGUGGCCCAGAGGACAGUUACCAUAUGGUGGGAUUAUAGUAGCCCAGAGGUCAGUUACCAUAUGGUUGGAUUAUAGUGACCCAGAGGUCAGUUACCAUAUAGUUGGAUUAUAGUGGCCCAGAGGACAGUUACCAUAUGGUUGGAUUAUAGUGGCCCAGAGGACAGUUACCCUAUAGUGGGAUUAUAGUGGCCCAGAGGACAGUUACCAUAUGGUGGGAUUAUAGUAGCCCAGAGGUCAAUUACCAUAUGGUUGGAUUAUAGUGACCCAGAGGUCAGUUACCAUAUAGUUGGAUUAUAGUGGCCCAGAGGACAGUUACCAUAUGGUUUGAUUAUAGUGGCCCAGAGGACAGUUACCCUAUAGUGGGAUUAUAGUAGCCCAGAGGACAGUUACCAUAUGGUUGGAUUAUAGUGGCCCAGAGGACAGUUACCAUAUGGUUGGAUUAUAGUGGCCCAGAGGACAGUUACCAUAUGGUUGGAUUAUAGUGGCCCAGAGGACAGUUACCAUAUGGUUGGAUUAUAGUGGCCCAGAGGACAGUUACCAUAUGGUUGGAUUAUAGUGGCCCAGAGGAAAGUUACCAUAUGGUUGGAUUAUAGUGGCCCAGAGGACAGUUACCAUAUGGUUGGAUUAUAGUGGCCCAGAGGACAGUUACCAUAUGGUUGGAUUAUAGUGGCCCAGAGGACAGUUACCAUAUGGUUGGAUUAUAGUGGCCCAGAGGACAGUUACCCUAUAGUGGGAUUAUAGUGACCCAGAGGACAGUUACCAUAUGGUUGGAUUAUAGUGGCCCAGAGGACAGUUACCAUAUGGUUGGAUUAUAGUGGCCCAGAGGACAGUUACCAUAUGGUUGGAUUAUAGUAGCCCAGAGGACAGUUACCAUAUGGUUGGAUUAUAGUGGCCCAGAGGACAGUUACCCUAUAGUGGGAUUAUAGUGGCCCAGAGGACAGUUACCAUAUGGUGGGAUUAUAGUGGCCCAGAGGACAGUUACCAUAUGGUUGGAUUAUAGUAGCCCAGAGGACAGUUACCAUAUGGUUGGAUUAUAGUGGCCCAGAGGACAGUUACCAUAUGGUGGGAUUAUAGUGACCCAGAGGACAGUUACCAUAUGGUUGGAUUAUAGUGGCCCAGAGGACAGUUACCAUAUGGUUGGAUUAUAGUGGCCCAGAGGACAGUUACCAUAUGGUUGGAUUAUAGUGGCCAGAGGACAGUUACCCUAUAGUGGGAUUAUAGUGGCCCAGAGGACAGUUACCCUAUAGUGGGAUUAUAGUGGCCCAGAGGACAGUUACCCUAUAAUGGGAUUAUAGUGGCCCAGAGGACAGUUACCCUAUAGUGGGAUUAUAGUGGCCCAGAGGACAGUUACCCUAUAGUGGGAUUAUAGUGGCCCAGAGGACAGUUACCCUAUAGUGGGAUUAUAGUGGCCCAGAGGACAGUUACCCUAUAGUGGGAUUAUAGUGGCCCAGAGGACAGUUACCCUAUAGUGGGAUUAUAGUGGCCCAGAGGACAGUUACCAUAUAGUGGGAUUAUAGUGGCCCAGAGGUCAGUUACCAUAUAGUGGGAUUAUAGUGGCCCAGAGGACAGUUACCCUAUAGUGGGAUUAUAGUGGCCCAGAGGACAGUUACCAUAUAGUGGGAUUAUAGUGGCCCAGAGGACAGUUACCAUAUAGUGGGAUUAUAGUGGCCCAGAGGACAGUUACCCUAUAGUGGGAUUAUAGUGGCCCAGAGGACAGUUACCAUAUAGUGGGAUUAUAGUGGCCCAGAGGACAGUUACCCUAUAGUGGGAUUAUAGUGGCCCAGAGGUCAGUUACCCUAUAGUGGGAUUAUAGUGGCCCAGAGGACAGUUACCCUAUAGUGGGAUUAUAGUGGCCCAGAGGACAGUUACCAUAUGGUUGGAUUAUAGUGGCCCAGAGGACAGUUACCAUAUGGUUGGAUUAUAGUGGCCCAGAGGACAGUUACCAUAUGGUUGGAUUAUAGUAGCCCAGAGGACAGUUACCAUAUGGUUGGAUUAUAGUGGCCCAGAGGACAGUUACCAUAUGGUUGGAUUAUAGUGGCCCAGAGGACAGUUACCAUAUGGUUGGAUUAUAGUGGCCCAGAGGACAGUUACCAUAUGGUUGGAUUAUAGUGGCCCAGAGGACAGUUACCAUAUGGUUGGAUUAUAGUAGCCCAGAGGACAGUUACCAUAUGGUUGGAUUAUAGUGGCCCAGAGGACAGUUACCAUAUGGUUGGAUUAUAGUGGCCCAGAGGACAGUUACCAUAUGGUUGGAUUAUAGUAGCCCAGAGGACAGUUACCAUAUGGUUGGAUUAUAGUGGCCCAGAGGACAGUUACCCUAUAGUGGGAUUAUAGUGAC
Long non-coding RNA from Oncorhynchus keta (chum salmon), 4244 nucleotides. RefSeq lists it as uncharacterized. The record is from RefSeq and is a predicted model, not a curated record. The transcript has 3 exons. NCBI's taxonomy places the organism in Eukaryota, Metazoa, Chordata, Actinopteri, Salmoniformes, Salmonidae.